AUGCAGUGCAACGCCAGUCGCUCAAGUGACCUAGAAAGCUGUCUGUCUCUAUUUCAGAGCUGCGUGUCUCUGUUGCAUUGGUCUGAAGCCGAAAAAGAAAGGAAAUUCACAGGAGCACCACAAUGCCUACUCCACCCAUGCUCUACCAAGGUUUUCCAGCACCACAAUGCCUACUCCACCCAUGCUCUACCAAGGUUUUCCAGCACCACAAUGCCUACUCCACCCAUGCUCUACCAAGGUUUUCCAGCACCACAAUGCCUACUCCACCCAUGCUCUACCAAGGUUUUCCAGCACCACAAUGCCUACUCCACCCAUGCUCUACCAAGGUUUUCCAGCACCACAAUGCCUACUCCACCCAUGCUCUACCAAGGUUUUCCAGCACCACAAUGCCUACUCCACCCAUGCUCUACCAAGGUUUCGGUAAUAAUAACAAUAAUAAUAAGUAAUUGAUAUUUUUUAUAUAUUUAGAUAUUGCAUAUUUGAUAUCUAAUAGUGAUUUGAUUGUAUUGUCAUCAAGGACCUUCUUCUAAAUCAGUUUUCUCACUAAUGGUGGUGCUCAUGUAUGCAUUCAAUUCCGUUGAUAUAGGUAUUACCCUCAUACGUCUUGAAGAAUAGAUUAGAUUUAGUCAUCUAGAAAAGAGUCCUUCUAUUUAGGCCAUGAGCCAUGAGACUUGAGCACCAUGCGCAGCGUUUCACUUAGUGAAUGAGAGCAAUGAUGCAGUGUUAUGGUGUGGAUCUGUAUGUGUCAAAAGGAAACCUUCGGGUGGAAAAUGUAAUGGAUUAAAAUGUUCCUUUUUCUAAAGAUAUUUUCUCAUUAGUUUGGAUGACAUGUUCGGUGAUUGGUACCGUAGCUACUUCUCUAAACUCUCCACUCUGUGCCAGUGUGUCAGGUCAACAGUGUGAACAGUGUAUGAACAGUCUAAUAUGCUCACAUCUAGACAUAUUGCUUUGUUUAUAACUGUAUAAUUACAUAGAAAAUAUAACAUUGUAAUAUUUCAACUAUUUUGAAUUGUUGUCUAGUAGUUUGCUAAAAUGACAUUUCAGGUGGAGUUGGAGGUAUUUGUUGGAUGCACAAACAUAGAAUUCAUGGUUGAAAUAAUCCAUGUGGUAGUCGACACACACGAUACAGUUUUCAUUCAAAAUAGAACAGAAAAGUGUUUUCUGACUGGGAGCAAAAUGAGACAUAUAUUUUGUCAUCUAAAUUAAAUGACCAGCAAAGAUCUUACAAAUGAGACUCCAGUUUAAAUCCUAUGAAAAGCUGAAGCUAUAGCAGCUAUGAAGGUAUACCUGUGUAUGAACCUGUCCUGGUACAAGGUGUUCAGAGGUGUGUAGCGAGGGAGUGCCUGUGAGGCAGUGCUCCUUACCUGUAUCUGGUCAGUAGAACUCCCUGAGACGUCCCUUACAGCAGGCUGUAUUUCCCAGACACCCCUACUGAGCUGUCACCCAGAGCUGGUGUGUGGAGAAAUGAGGCUGUGGAACUGGAUACUGGAGAGAUACUAUCUGGUCCAGUUCGCAGCUCAGGGAGUGUGUGUGUGUGAGAGAGAGAGAGAGACAGAGUGAGAGAGUGAGAGAGUGAGUGAGAUAGAGAUAGAGAGGGGGGGGGGGGUGAAAGAGUGAGAGAUGGAGGGAGGGGAGGGGUAUAGGGAGAGAUGGUAGCAGGCUGCCAGUGAGAUAGUGAGAGUGAUAAUAAGAAAUCAUGAGGAGAUGAAGACUGUUGGGAGGGGGACAGAGAGAGAGAGAGAGAAUGGGAGAGAGAGAGAAUGGGAGAGAGAGAGAGAGAGAGAAUGGGAGAGAGAGAGAGAGAGAGAGAGAGAGAAAGAGAGAGAGAGACAAACAGACAGACAGACAGACAGACAGACAGACAGACAGACAGACAGACAGACAGACAGACAGACAGACAGACAGACAGAGAGAGAGAGAGAGAGAGUAAAGGAGAGCGAGAAGCAGAAGAGGGGAUAGGAAGAUCGCAGUAGGCAUCAGUUUCCUCCUCAGUGUUUCAUUUUCUCACAGAGGUUUCUAUUGAAGGUUCCCAGCUGCUGAGUGAAUCAGUGAAAAGGACAAAGGGAUGCUGAGAGACGGGAAGCUGCCUGGGAGAGCAACUGGAGAAAAGCAUGGCUUACAGGAUUCUGCAGAGGGAGUAUAGGGAAUGUAAUGUAGGGAACGUAAUAUAAUGUCUCUUUCGUGUCCCAGGUGGAAUGAGCAGGUUAAAACCAUGUUGCCCCUCUCAUGGCUCUACCCUCCAGCCCCAGCCCCAGCCCCAGGGAGGGCACUACUGCUUGGGGGAAGUUAGUUAGCUGCUGCCUGGUGCUGCUGCUGGCUGAGACAUGAACCCUGCCCUGGUGUCAGAUUGAAAUGGCGUGGCGCCCAGGCUCAUUAUCAGGCUGAUUAACCACAGUAAUGAACUGAUAUUAGAGAGAUAGCUGGUCACAGUGUCUCCCACUAACAUCCUUCUUCAUUCACAAGGUGGCACUCAAAGAAAUAGGCUACAUAGUGCAUAUGGCUGGGGAGUGUGAAACAGACAGAGGGCUAUAGUUACUAAAUGUAUGAGAUCUCACAGCAAUAUUUGUAUUCCAUUCCAUUAGAAAUGGGUCCUUGUGUCAAAUAUUCUAUUGUUAUGCCCUGAGCAUGGGAAAUCGAGUUUUGCAAAUUAGCUCAUAAUUCUGGAGCUAAUUCUGGAGCUAAACUAAUCAUUUAGUUGGAGGGAAUGUUGUUCCUAUAACUUAGAAAUCAUUCAACCCCCAAGAGACAGAACCAUCUAUAGCUACAUGAAUAAAUACCAUUGAUAGCUAAACUGAAACUCUCGGAAGGAUGAUGUGCUCUAUGCAUUCAAGAAUUUAUUGAAAUAUGAUGGUCUCUUUUCGCUGAGAUUUCCUGAACAGUCUUGAUUUCACGUUCAGCGGGAAAGUAGGGGCCAGGAGAUGCUUUUAAAUAUUGAAAUUCCCCUGUUUUCAUGCCCUGGGUAAGUGCCCCCAUUUCCUAACUUCAUAAUUACAUAUGGUAACUCAGUUAAACAAUACAGUGACAUGUGUGUCACUGCUAACUUAAUAGAGAGGACCGUCAACAGCUGGUGAAGAACAGUACAGGUACAAUGUCUGGCUGCGUCCACACAUUUGAAUGGUUCAAACCAAGUGUUCAGGGAGUCGUGACCUUUGUUUUUCAGUAGCCAACUCGCAGCUUGUUGAUAUGUACUCUAUUGUAUGUUGAUAGUCGUCUUAGGGAUAGCAAGCUGUUUACCAGACAUGACUUGUCAUUCUUGUUAAUCCUUAUAUGGCUGAUUGUCUGAUUAGAUGAUUGUCUGGAUGCUCUCUGUACUCCACCUGUGUAUGAAGUGGAGACUGCUCCCAGUGCUCGGCAAAAGCGUGUGCUAAUUUUAUUCAAGUGCAGGAGCUCAAAUUCAAUCAUUAGAGAUGAAUUCAAAGUGUUUAAGGCAGUGUAUGUUUGUGCUUGCUCAGGCCGUAAGUAAAUGCUUCACUGUCUAAAUGAUUAGGAACUUUGAGAAAACAAGCUUUGAAAGCUUUUUAAUUAGGCUAUUAGGAAUGAAGUCAAGUCAUGUUUUUGAUGGAGCAGCUAGUAUGAGUUUGAUAAAAGCCUGCUGCACUAGUACUCUCAUUUGAUCCGAAUUGUGUUGGGAAUUGCAGAUACUGUAGGUCUCUGGGGGAAAUUGAAAGAUUGUGACACCUGGAUUGUAGUAUAAAUGACACUUGUUGUUUUUAUCAAGAACAUACUGGACCUUUAUGUUUCUUUAAUAUUUAUUUUUGUUUAUUUAAUUACCUUUAUUUAACCAGGUAGGCAAGUUGAGAACAAGUUCUCAUUUACAAUUGUGACCUGGCCAAGAUAAAGCAAAGCAGUUCGACAAAUACAACGACACAGAGUUACACAUGGAGUAAAACAAACAUACAGUCAAUAAUACAGUAUAAACAAGUAUAUAUACAAUGUGAGCAAAUGAGGUGAGAAGGGAGGUACAGGCAAAAAAGGCCAUGGUGGCAAGGUAAAUACAAUAUAGCAAGUAAAACACUGGAAUGGUAGUUUUGCAAUGGAAGAAUGUGCAAAGUAGAAAUAAAAAUAAUGGGGUGCAAAGGAGCAAAAUAAAUAAAUUAAUUAAAUACAGUUGGGAAAGAGGUAGUUGUU
Molecule: long non-coding RNA, 4128 nt
Organism: Oncorhynchus mykiss (rainbow trout)
Lineage: Eukaryota; Metazoa; Chordata; Actinopteri; Salmoniformes; Salmonidae
Source: Ensembl